GACGAACGCUGGCGGCGUGCUUAACACAUGCAAGUCGAACGGAAAGGCCCCUUCGGGGGUACUCGAGUGGCGAACGGGUGAGUAACACGUGGGUGAUCUGCCCUGAACUCUGGGAUAAGCCUGGGAAACUGGGUCUAAUACCGGAUAUGACUACUGAUCGCAUGGUUGGUGGUGGAAAGCUUUUGCGGUUUGGGAUGGGCCCGCGGCCUAUCAGCUUGUUGGUGGGGUAAUGGCCUACCAAGGCGACGACGGGUAGCCGACCUGAGAGGGUGAUCGGCCACACUGGGACUGAGACACGGCCCAGACUCCUACGGGAGGCAGCAGUGGGGAAUAUUGCACAAUGGGCGCAAGCCUGAUGCAGCGACGCCGCGUGAGGGAUGACGGCCUUCGGGUUGUAAACCUCUUUCGCCAGGGACGAAGCGUAAGUGACGGUACC
Molecule: ribosomal RNA, 436 nt
Filed under: uncultured bacterium
Lineage: Bacteria
Description: bacterial SSU rRNA
Rfam family: Bacterial small subunit ribosomal RNA
Source: RNAcentral